RNAcentral lists this ribosomal RNA (492 nucleotides) under uncultured bacterium. Its description in RNAcentral is "partial 16S ribosomal RNA". It matches the Rfam family "Bacterial small subunit ribosomal RNA", at positions 29 to 507 of the family's 1533-position model. The record is from RNAcentral.
AGUGAACGCUGGCGGUAGGCCUAACACAUGCAAGUCGAACGGCAGCACAGUAAGAGCUUGCUCUUACGGGUGGCGAGUGGCGGACGGGUGGGGAAUACAUCGGAAUCUACUUUUUCGUGGGGGAUAACGUAGGGAAACUUACGCUAAUACCGCAUACGUCCUACGGGUGAAAGCAGGGGAUCUUCGGACCUUGCGCGAUUGAAUGAGCCGAUGUCGAAUUAGCUAGUUGGCGGGGUAAAGGCCCACCAAGGCGACGAUCCGUAGCUGGUCUGAGAGGAUGAUCAGCCACACUGGAACUGAGACACGGUCCAGACUCCUACGGGAGGCAGCAGUGGGGAAUAUUGGACAAUGGGCGCAAGCCUGAUCCAGCCAUACCGCGUGGGUGAAGAAGGCCUUCGGGUUGUAAAGCCCUUUUGUUGGGAAAGAAAAGCAGCAGGUUAAUACCCCGCUGUUCUGACGGUACCCAAAGAAUAAGCACCGGCUAACUUCGUG